This 329-nucleotide unclassified non-coding RNA is filed under the name soil metagenome. Its description in RNAcentral is "partial contains 5.8S ribosomal RNA, internal transcribed spacer 2, and large subunit ribosomal RNA". The stretch from base 1 to 120 matches the Rfam family "5.8S ribosomal RNA", at positions 35 to 154 of the family's 154-position model. The record is from RNAcentral.
GAUGAAGAACGCAGCGAAAUGCGAUAAGUAGUGUGAAUUGCAGAAUUCAGUGAAUCAUCGAAUCUUUGAACGCACAUUGCGCCCCUUGGUAUCCCGAGGGGCAUGCCUGUUCGAGCGUCAUUUCACCACUCAAGCCUGGCUUGGUGUUGGGCGACGUCCUCUUUGGGGACGCGCCUCGAAACGCUCGGCGGCGUGGCACCGGCUUUAAGCGUAGCAGAAUCUUUCGCUUUGGAAGUCGGGGCCCCGUCUGCCGGAAGACCUGCUCGCAAGGUUGACCUCGAAUCAGGUAGGGAUACCCGCUGAACUUAAGCAUAUCAAUAAGCGGAGGA